This 404-nucleotide unclassified non-coding RNA is filed under the name Zea mays. RNAcentral's name for it is "misc RNA Zm00001eb148760". The record is from RNAcentral. Lineage: Eukaryota; Viridiplantae; Streptophyta; Magnoliopsida; Poales; Poaceae.
CCCGAGGCUACGGCUUCGAUGUGAAGCCAGUGGGUUUCCUCCGCGGCAGACGGCGAUGGCGGAGACCGUGCUUCUCCACGUCGCGCCCACGGAUCUCCUCGCGCUUGCCGACCCAUGCGGGCCCACCGCACCGGCGUCCUCUUCCACGCGCCGUCCUGGCCAGAGGAGGAAGGGGAGGAGCGCGUGUGGGCCACAACCACAAAUCCCAUCCCUCUUCCUUCUCAAACACCAUCGCCGUCACCGUGUCAUCGCGGGCCGAAGUCCUCUCUCCUCCAUCUCAAGCGAUGGCAUGAGGUGGAUCUGUAGCACGUACCAGGACGCGGUCGACGACGAGCUAGGGUGCGCGUCCCCGCCCGUCUCCCCCACCGAGGCGCUGGACUGCCACGCUUCUGUUGCCACUGGAC